Molecule: RNase P RNA, 400 nt
Rfam family: Bacterial RNase P class A
About the family: Ribonuclease P (RNase P) is a ubiquitous endoribonuclease, found in archaea, bacteria and eukarya as well as chloroplasts and mitochondria.
CGAGCCGAGUGGACGGUCGCGUCGUGGCAGGAAUGCCGCGCCGAGGAACGUCCGGACUCCAUAGGGCAGGGUGGUGGCUAACGGCCACCCGGGGUGACCCGCGGGACAGUGCCACAGAAAACAAACCGCCGGGGACCUCGGUCCUCGGUAAGGGUGAAACGGUGGUGUAAGAGACCACCAGUGCCCAGGGUGACCUGGGCAGCUAGGUAAACCCCACCCGGAGCAAGGUCAAAAGGGAGCGCCUCGGCGCGACUGCGGGAACGUUCGAGGGCUGCCCGCCCGAGUCCCCGGGUAGACCGCACGAGGCCGGUGGCAACACCGGCCCUAGAUGGAUGGCCGUCUCCCCGGCCGCCGCGAGGCGACCGGGCGACAGAAUCCGGCGUACAGCUCGACUCGUCUG